CAUGUGGGGCAAGCGUUGUUCGGAAUUAUUGGGCGUAAAGGGCGCGUAGGCGGUUUGACAAGUCUGAUGUGAAAUCUCUGGGCUCAACCCAGAGUCUGCAUUAGAAACUGUCGGGCUUGAGUAUGGGAGAGGUGAGUGGAAUUUCCGGUGUAGCGGUGAAAUGCGUAGAUAUCGGAAGGAACACCUGUGGCGAAAGCGGCUCACUGGACCAUAACUGACGCUGAGGCGCGAAAGCUAGGGGAGCAAACAGGAUUAGAUACCCUGGUAGUCCUAGCCCUAAACGAUGAUUGCUUGGUGUGACAGGUACCCAAUCCUGUCGUGCCGAAGCUAACGCGAUAAGCAAUCCGCCUGGGGAGUACGGUCGCAAGGCUG
RNAcentral lists this ribosomal RNA (372 nucleotides) under uncultured organism. RNAcentral describes it as "bacterial SSU rRNA". It matches the Rfam family "Bacterial small subunit ribosomal RNA", at positions 526 to 896 of the family's 1533-position model. The record is from RNAcentral.